UCCGUAGGUGAACCUGCGGAAGGAUCAUUGUCGAAGCCUAGAAAGACCGACCGCGAAUGAGUUUACAAUCGUGGAGAACGUUGCUAGUCUUUAGGGAUCUAUGAUGCAAUCGAUGUUGAGUAGACCUUUGCUUCUCGUUCUCCGAAUUUAACGAACUCCGGCGCGAACAGCGCCAAGGAUUCAGAAUGUAGAGAACUUGAUCCUCUAACCUGUUGAUCGGGUUGCGAGGAUCUUGUUUGAGUAAAAUUCAUAACGACUCUCGGCAACGGAUAUCUUGGCUCUCGCAUCGAUGAAGAACGUAGCAAAAUGCGAUACUUGGUGUGAAUUGCAGAAUCCCGUGAAUCAUUGAGUCUUUGAACGCAAGUUGCGCCUGAAGCCUUUAGGUCUAGGGCACGUCUGCCUGGGCGUCAUGCACUGCGAUGCCCUUCAUUCAAAAUGUCUGGUGAAUCUUGGCCUCCCGUUAAACUCUAACUUUCGGAUGGCUUAAAAAUGAGCAUCGAGAUCGGAAAUGUCGCGACAAGUGGUGGUUGAAUGGGCUUUGCCCUUUGAACUUAGCACGUUGAGACAUUUCCCUUCCUAUCUCUAUAGAAAGACCUAAUCGGAGUGCGUUAAUCGCGCUGCCAGCAUCGUGACCCCAGGUCAGGCAGGACUACCCGCUGAGUUAA
RNAcentral lists this ribosomal RNA (665 nucleotides) under Sedum trullipetalum. RNAcentral describes it as "eukaryotic LSU rRNA". The stretch from base 255 to 410 matches the Rfam family "5.8S ribosomal RNA". Lineage: Eukaryota; Viridiplantae; Streptophyta; Magnoliopsida; Saxifragales; Crassulaceae. The record is from RNAcentral.